RNAcentral lists this transfer RNA (76 nucleotides) under Nocardioides ganghwensis. Its description in RNAcentral is "tRNA-Glu". It matches the Rfam family "tRNA". Rfam says of the family: Transfer RNA (tRNA) molecules are approximately 80 nucleotides in length. Their secondary structure includes four short double-helical elements and three loops (D, anti-codon, and T loops). RNAcentral also lists the same sequence under 5 other names. The record is from RNAcentral. Lineage: Bacteria; Bacillati; Actinomycetota; Actinomycetes; Propionibacteriales; Nocardioidaceae.
GCCCCCAUCGUCUAGCGGCCCAGGACCCCGCCCUUUCACGGCGGUAGCGCCGGUUCGAAUCCGGUUGGGGGUGCGA